Long non-coding RNA from Daphnia pulex (common water flea), 1054 nucleotides. RefSeq lists it as uncharacterized. The record is from RefSeq and is a predicted model, not a curated record. The transcript has 7 exons. NCBI's taxonomy places the organism in Eukaryota, Metazoa, Arthropoda, Branchiopoda, Diplostraca, Daphniidae.
AUUAUUAUCGGGCAACUCCAAGCUGAUGCUACUAGAUUCCCUAUAGUGGAAUCAAAGCACUUGCUGACUAUGUGAUUUCUGAUUUGAUCAAAAUUCAUACUUUUUGAUAUUCCGUCAUCUUUUUUUCCCCCAUAGUAAUAUAUUUUUUAAAGAUUCAUUCUAAAGGUUUAAAAUUUGGAAUGUAUGAAGACUAUGGAACUCUUACUUGUUGACGAGGAUAUCCAGGGAUUCUCACUCAUUUAACUGAUUCCAAAACUUUUGCUGAAUGGGUGGGUGGUGAUUAUGUUAAUCUUGAUGGAUGCUAUGCAGAUCAUUCUGAAAUGGAUAAAUCAGGUAGCCCUGAAUUUGGAACUCUUUUGAAUCUGACUGGUAGACCCAUAGUGCGUACUUCUGUAGUUUGCCGGAUUAUCAGCUUCAACUAGUGGCUAUAAAGCAACCCCGAUAUUAGCCCUGUUUGUAACCUUUGGCGAAACUUUGACGACAUCGAUGAUUCGUGGGUUAGUGUGUCAAGCAUUGAUUAUUAUGGUGAUAAGCAAGAUAGGUUUGAUCCCGGUUGCUGGAAUAUGGUAAUAAUUAACGUUAGUUGUCUGACCUAGCCAGAGAGGGAGUUCCGGUAGGUCCGAAGCCAAGAUUGGUGACUUCUUACGACUUUACCGUUGUUGAGUUUGCUCCUCCCAAGAGCUUACAUUUGAACUUUCUUGUUGCAAAGGAUUCUAUGUACAAAGCUUAGUCCAUGAUUUAGGAAUUGUUUUAAACCGUUUUAAACAGCUGUGCUUACCUCGACACGCUGGAGAGAACUCGCCAAGGUCCGUUUGAAACUCAGCACUGUCUUACGGAAGAACAAUGCCCGGUUACCGGUAUCCGCAAAAAAAUUCUUGAGAUGCAACAGGUUACACGCAAGUAUCUAGAUACUCAAAUGGAAAACUAUCGUUCAAGGAAAUCCCUUCAAAGUCAAAAUCAAAAUGUUGUCAAACGAAAGUAUUUUGAAUCUAGUAUAGGACUAUAUUUAAUAAAAAGUAUGAUCAAUGGGAUUAUUCUAAAUAAAUUGCAUAGU